This 255-nucleotide ribosomal RNA is filed under the name uncultured bacterium. RNAcentral describes it as "partial 16S ribosomal RNA". It matches the Rfam family "Bacterial small subunit ribosomal RNA", at positions 524 to 776 of the family's 1533-position model. The record is from RNAcentral.
UACGGGGGGGAGCAAGCGUUGUUCGGAUUUACUGGGCGUAAAGGGCGCGUAGGCGGCCACCGCAAGUCAGUUGUGAAAUCUCUGGGCUUAACCCAGAAAGGUCAACUGAUACUGCGGGGCUAGAGUGCAGAAGGGGCAACUGGAAUUCUCGGUGUAGCGGUGAAAUGCGUAGAUAUCGGGAGGAACACCUGUGGCGAAGGCGGCCCCCUGGUUGGAUACUGACGCUGAUACGCGAAAGCGUGGGGAGCAAACAGG